Onychostruthus taczanowskii (white-rumped snowfinch) is the source of this 454-nucleotide long non-coding RNA. RefSeq lists it as uncharacterized. The transcript has 3 exons. Lineage: Eukaryota; Metazoa; Chordata; Aves; Passeriformes; Passeridae. The record is from RefSeq and is a predicted model, not a curated record.
CCGUGCCCCGGCUGCGGCAGCGGGAAGGGCCCGGGGAAGCCAUGCCCGGGGAGACGGGAACGCGGUGAGCGGCGGGACGGGACGGAGCGGCGAGGGGAAUGUGCGUGGGGGCAAUAAAUGUCUGAGCCCGCGGCAGCGGAGCUGCGUCCCGUGCCCCAGCACGGCUCCCGAGGCGGCCCCGGCAGCGGCAGACAAGGUUCUAAUUCCAGGACACUGCUGCAUGCAGUUGAAUCAAUGGUGAUCACAGCAGAUUCCUGACACUGUGAGAAGAAAUUCUGCUGUUCUUCUGCAGGGUCUUCAUACGGGCCUCCAAACUGAGCUGAACUUCUGGAAAGCAAGAAAAGACAACAUUUUAUUUAAAAAUAAACAAAGCAGCAUUGAUGAUUGGACUAAAACCCAGUGGAGAGAGAUUAAUGUGGAACAGAUGGAUGUGCGGCUCAGAAGGUUUGCCAAG